AAGCUAUCCUAUAGAGGCGAUUGAAUUUGGCGGCCUCGAAUUCCCCCUUCGCCGCCGCGGUAAUACGGAGGGCGCUAGCGUUAUCCGGAUUCACUGGGUUAAAGGGGGCGUAGGCGGGUGGGUAAUUCAGUGGUGAAAUCCUGGAGCUCACCUCCAAAACUGCCAUUGAUACUAUCUGUCUGGAAUAUUGUGGAAGUAAGCGGAAUAUGCCCCGUAACGGUGAAAUGCUUACUUAUCACCUUAAUCUCCCAUUGCCAAGGCAGCUUACUCCGCUCAGAUUGACACUUAGGCGAGAAAGCCUGGAGAUCAAACGGGAUUAAAUACCCUGGUAAUCCACUCCCUAUCCGAUGGAUACUCGCCCUCCCCGAAACACUGUGUGUGUGUAAGGGAAAAUUUUAAGCAUCCCACCUGGGUAGUACCUUCACAAGAAUGAAUUUCAAAUGAAUUGGCGGGGGAGCACUU
RNAcentral lists this ribosomal RNA (462 nucleotides) under uncultured archaeon. RNAcentral's name for it is "bacterial SSU rRNA". It matches the Rfam family "Bacterial small subunit ribosomal RNA", at positions 458 to 926 of the family's 1533-position model. The record is from RNAcentral.